RNAcentral lists this ribosomal RNA (469 nucleotides) under uncultured bacterium. RNAcentral's name for it is "partial 16S ribosomal RNA". It matches the Rfam family "Bacterial small subunit ribosomal RNA", at positions 28 to 507 of the family's 1533-position model. The record is from RNAcentral.
GACGAACGCUGGCGGCGUGCUUAACACAUGCAAGUCGAACGGAAAGGCCCCGCUGGGGGUGCUUGCGCGGGGGGCGAACGGGUAACUAGCACGUGAGUAGCCUUCCCUUUACGGUUGGAUAACGUCAGCAAAGGGGAGUACCUGCCGGAUAUCAUUGCCGCCUGCAGGGUGGUGGUAAGAAAGGUUUGGCGGGUUGGGAUGGACUCGCGGGUUGUCAGCUUGUUGGGUGGGGAGUGGCCUAGCAAGGGAUUGAUGGGUAGCCGGGCUGGGAGGGGGACCGGCCACAUUGGGACUGGGGUACGGCCCAGACUCCCACGGGGGGCAGGAGGGGGGGAUAAUGCACAAUGGGCGGGAGGCUGAUGGAGGAACGCCGCGUGCGGGAUUACCGGCUUCGGGGUGGAAACCGCUUUCAGCAGGGGCGAAGCUGUGGGUGACGGUACCUGCAGAAGAAGCACCGGCUAACUACGUG